Hipposideros armiger (great roundleaf bat) is the source of this 3910-nucleotide long non-coding RNA. RefSeq lists it as uncharacterized. The record is from RefSeq and is a predicted model, not a curated record. The transcript has 5 exons. NCBI's taxonomy places the organism in Eukaryota, Metazoa, Chordata, Mammalia, Chiroptera, Hipposideridae.
GGAAUUUUCUCCUCACUACCUCCUCAGGUGGCUUCAGUGCUCCACAGCAAAAACAGCAGAAGCAGCAGCAACAGCAACAGGUGAGGCACCCUUCUGAAGCUCCAACACUGCAUAGAGGGUCGUCCCACUUUUGGACAGCUGGCGGGCUGCUUUAUCCACGUGAGCCAUGAUCUGGGUCAGAAGAGAAGCAGCAUUCGUGAGAACUUCCCCAGCUCUGCAAUAUUCUGGUUCUUCUCCUCUUCCAUCUUCGCUUCCACAACCUUGAAGCACCCCAGUUAAAGGAUUUCCAUAUCACAAUGACUGUUGUCCUAGCCUCCUGACUGUUCUCCCUACUGCCACUCUCAUCCUGGAUACUACUUCCAGAUCAAUGUUCAUAAAGCAGAGCUUCCAUCAUUACCACUCCUUUGGUCAUAGCCUCCGGGAUGCAAAAUAACCUUUAAAAUCUGACAAUGAACUCUACAACCUGAUUCUAACUUACCCCUCCACACUUACUAUCUACUGUUGCCCUAAAGUGAACUUUCCAUAACAAUCAAACUGGUCUUUUUCCUCCCUAAUUAUUCCUGUUCUUUCUCACCCUCUAUACCAUUGCUCCCACACAAUUUCCCCUCAUGAAUUGUCCUUUUUCAUUAAUCAGUUCACUUACUCAACAAAUAUCUAUUAAGCACUACUGUAUGCCUAGUACCUUGUAAACAAUGAUAAUUUGUCAAACUCUUUUCUGUUAUAGAUUAUAGCCUAGUAUGGAAGACAGACAUUCAUUAAUAUCUUCAACAAAUAUUUAUUGGGUGCUGUCAUUGGUGCCAGACACUGUUCUAGGUGCUGGGGAUACAGCAGCAUACAAAACAGAAAACUUUGUACCAUCGUGGCGCUUAUAUUCAGGUGGGAGAAGAUAGACAGUAAAUAAAAUAAGUAAAAUAUAUAAUGUGUUGGGUGAUAAUAAUGGCUAUGGAGAAACAUAGAACAAGGGGCAGAGAUAGAGAAUUGUUGAAGGGAGGUUGCAGUUGUUAAAAAGGAUAAGCAGAGAGGGCCUGAGAAGGUGAUAUUUGAGCCAAAACCUGAAGCGGGUCCUCAGAUGGGUUGUGGAGACAUCUGGCAGAAUGUGUUACAGGUAGAGAGACGAGUAAAUGUAAAGGUCCUGGGGUGGGAACAUGCCCGGUGUGUUGUCGAACCUGUAGCUGGAGUGAGGUAGGAGUAAUAAGAAAUGCAAUCAGAGGGGGCUAAAUUGUAGGGCUUUGGAGGCCAGUGGAAGGCCUGUGGCUGACAGUGAGUGAGAUGGGGAGUGACGAAAUCUGGCCUAUGUUGCCUAGUCACUGGAUUGAGAAUAGGCUCUAGGGCAAUAAGGGUAGAAAAAGGAAGACAACCUAGGAAGCUACUGCAAUUACCAAGACUGAUGAUGGUGGUUUGGACAGGGUGGGAGCAGGAUUUGUUGACAGAUUGGAUGUAGGGUGAAAAUAGAGGAGUGAAGAAUGACUCUAACUAAGGUUUCUGUCCUGAGCAAAUGGAAGGAUGGAGUUACCAUGUUCCGACAUGGGAGGACUGGCUGAAAGAGAAGGUUUGGGAUGAGGGUGAUGGUCAGGAGUUGUUUUAGACUAAUGAACCUUGAGAUGCCUAUUAGACAUUAAAGAAGAGAGGUCAACAUUUCAGUAUUUGAGUUUGGAGUUCAAGUGAGAGAUCUGAGAAUCAUCAUCAUAUAGAUCCUUUUUUUUUAAAGUUUCUUUUAGUAGAAAAUUUCAAACACAUACAAAAAUAGAAUUGUACAAUAAACCCCCAUAUACCCAUUGCUUAGCUUCAAACCAUUGCUUUCUGCUGUUUCUAGAUAGUAUUUAAAGCCUUGAGACUGGAUGAUAUCUGUAGAAAGGUAAGAGAAGAGGGUGAUCAAAUCCUGGACUACCCCAGCAUUGAAAGGUUGAGCAGAUAAGGAGGAACCAGCAAAGGAGAAUGAAAACAAGCAGUCAGUGAAGUAGAAGGAAAACCAGAUUAUGGUAUCCUGGGAGCCAAAUGAAGAAACAAUUACCAAAUAAUUUAAUUACAGUAUGAUAAGUGCUAAGGAAGAAAAAGAAGUGUGCAAUGAGAAUGUAUAACAUGAGAAUUAACCUAGUUUGGGGGUCAGGAAAGGCCUCCCUGAGGUGGUGACAUGUAAGCUCCAGCCCUCCUUCAUCCUCUCCAUCUUCAGCUAAAAUCCUACUUCCUCCAUCCUGCUUCCACUCUGAAAACCGGCCCCUCCUUUCUGGGAUGGCUUUAGCGAGGCGAUGUGUCAGCCACUAGGGGGCGCUUGGGAAACAGCGAUGAGAAAGACAAUUCCUGCCUUCAGGGAGCUUGUGCUCUAGUGACAAGACAGAUAAGCAAAUGAUUUCCUAACAAUGUGGGGAGUGCUACCAUCUCAUAAGCACAGUGGGUGUUGAAAGCACUAGGUAGGGGCACAUAGCCCAGCUGGGGGGAGCCAGGAAAGGCUCCCUGGAGGUAACACCUGAGCAGAGAAUGGAGAGCAUACCCUUCAAGUGUUAACCCUUGCCCACACACGUGGAUUCCAAAUCGUGCCUGCGAUAUCUAGCCUAGCCUAUAUCCUGACCUCAACACUGGGCCUUGCUCUCCUUCUCUCCCAAGAUGAACUUGUCCAGCCUGGGUUCCCCCGAAGUCCCCUUCUGACCUGCUCUGCCAUCCUCUGUCCUGUCCUCCUGGGAACAUUCGGGGCUUCCUGCCUCCAUCACACCUUUGAGACUAAGAGUGGCCUAAGGACUCUCUUUAGGGAAGAUUGAUACCUGAGGCAGGACAGGACAGGAAGUAAGAGCAUGUGGGUAAGUCAGUAGCAACAAAACAGAAAAGCAGAAUAGAAAUCUCUUGUGAUCAACUUAAAGUGAGGAAGGUAGGGAACACAUCUAUCUUGUUUAUCAGCAAUCCCCAGCUGUGCUAGCAAGGUGCAUGACAGGAAAUAAGUGUUCACAAUAUUGAAUGAAUAGUUCUUACAAGACUACAGUUCCAUAUAGCGCACCAGCCGUAAACUGUCCUUCCUUCUAACUGCUGCAUAAUUUUCCUAGCCCCUAGUCAGGUGCAGAAUGCCUUCCUCGGCCCCGGCAUUCAAGAGGAUCCUUUGCAAAGAUUUUCACACGGCCACUUAAGUGGCUCUUUGAGAAACAGGUGCAAGCAGUCUGUUUUGCUGCCAGGCUUUUCUUGCAUACAUUUCCAAACAAAGGCAACUGUUGGUAUUCUCCCUGCCGACGUCCCCGGCUUCCCAGGGAGCCUCAGCGAAGGGCAGCCCUGUAAUCUGUCUGCUCCGAUGCCCCUUUCCCUUCCCUGCUUGCUCGCUCCCAACCCGGUGGCGGGGCGGGCACGUGCCAGCGUCUGCCCCCCUCCGGGGUACCCGGGGCUGCUGUCCGCUCGCUCGCUGUGGACUGCCCAGGAAGGGAAAUCCCAGAGGAAGCCAUUGUUGUUACUAUCACGUCCCUUCUUGUCAUCGCUGAGGCGUGCCUUAAGAAGCCCCGUCCCCGCAUAGGACCCUGAGGUUUCUUCCCAUUGGGGCUCGUCUGCUCUAACCACUUCGGACGAGGCUACCGCAUCCGAGCCCUGGAGUGCAUGGUGGCCCCUCGCGUCCUAGCUCCGAGGCUGUUGGAGUACGGGAAGCCCCAGGAAGUGCAGAGCUUCGAAAACCGACGGCGCCAGGCAGGACGUGUCCCAGGCACUGGCAUAGGAGGGCAGGGACAGGAGUUCCACGCCGGCUCUGCCACGGACCUACAAGAAUGUCACAGCUUGGAGUGCACAAUCCAGCCACCAUUCCCUCUUCGUUCUACAGUAGCGGUAGGUGUGAGGGACAGAGAGCAUUGAGCAUUUGAAGCUUCAGCUCCAGGCCCGGCCACCAACUUUGCUCCAGGUCACUCCUUUCUCUGGGCUUCAGUGAAAAUGAGGCAAAAUGAGGUAA